UCAAACCUCAGGAAAAAUACUCACUUUUUCAACUUUUGACUAAAAACCUCAUUCUCCUCUUCCAUCUUCCACGAUACUUCUUUUCCUCACUAUUGAGCUUCUCCUCCACCGGACCUGUUUCUCAUCCACGACGGACAGUUUCUCCUCCUCCAUCGGAUCUGCUUCUGCUGCUCCACCACGGACCUGCUUCUGCUGCUUCACCACGGUAAUUUGUUUUUUCUUCCUCCGGCGAAAGCAACACCACCGUCAUCACCAUCGAUUUCUGGACCCAGAUCCGAAACUGCAUCAUCCACUAGUGGUUUCUAAGGCUUGAGAUUUCUGUCACUUGCUUUUCAGCACUUCUUCAUUUAACAUCAAGCAUGUUGGGCUCUGGAUUUUGGAUGAAAUUUGGUUAUUUUGUGGGUUUCAGAUAGAUCUCUUAAUUGCUGCGUGUUGUCUGGAGUCCAGGGUUCAUAUUUUCCAUAAUGUGUUGAAUGUUGUAAAUUUUAACCAGGAGUGGUUCAUCGCUGAAUGGUCUUGCGCUUUCGCCAUAGUAUUGAACUUUUUGGGAGGAUUUGAAGCACUGUUUCGUUUCAGCAAUGUGAGAUUUACUAGGUAUGAAUUCAGGUGAUGCUUUUCUUUUUCUUGUUUUUCAGUGUAAAAUUAUGCCGGAAUGUAGUCAUGGAAAUGAGAUUUU
Molecule: long non-coding RNA, 676 nt
Filed under: Phaseolus vulgaris (common bean)
Lineage: Eukaryota; Viridiplantae; Streptophyta; Magnoliopsida; Fabales; Fabaceae
Description: long non-coding RNA (PVUL_LNC005080)
Source: RNAcentral